UCACAGACAUUUUUCGGGCUCGUGGAUAUGAUGCGGGCUCAUGGACAUGAGGCAGGCUCUGAGACAUGAUGCAGGCUCAGGGAGAUGAUGCGGGCUUGGGGAGAUGACGUGGGCUUGGGGAGAUGAUGUGGGCUUCUGGAGAUGACACAGGCCUGCAUAGAUGGUGCAGCCUCCGGAUAUGACGCGGGCUUGGGGAGAUGACUGAAGAGGCUCAUCACCUUCACCAAUGCCCUCCUUAUCGCCAAACCCAAUGUAUCUCCAACCUCAAACUUCUCUGACUCUCAGUAGCUUUUGACACAGUUGACCACUAGCCUCUUUUGAAACUUCUGAUUCUACGAUUCCUUAUUCUCAUCCCACUUAUUCUCCAAUGUGAAUAGCCUCUCUUUUUAAGUCUUGUUUACUAAGUUCUCCUUCUCUACUCAGUCAUUAAAGUUUGGUCCCCCUCACAACUGGGUCCUGGGUCUUCCUCUCAACAGUGUCUUCUGUAUCUAAAUAUUCUCACCUACUCUAAUGUCUUCACUUACAUUGUCUAUGUCACAGCUCCUAAAUAAAUAUCUUCAGCUAAAUCUCUCUCCCUAGCUCCAAAGUCACAUUUUUUCAACCACACACUUCCCAUCUCCACUGGAUGCCUCUCACAGAUAGCUCCACAUCCAUAUGUCCAAAACGGAACUCCAGAUUAUCACCUCGAAGCUGUGGUUUCUUCUCCAAUCGCAUUCCUGGUUCUCCCCCUAUAUUAACAAAUGGGGGGUCCCAUUCAUCCAGGAACCAAAAUUAGAAAUCUAGACGUUACUCUUGGCUCUUUCCUCUUGCUCAGCUCUUACCUCCAGUUCAAUUCAUCAUAGAUUCUAUUUCCAAAUAUAUUUCCAUUUCUUUUCCUUCUCUCCAUGUCUAGUACCCUGGGUGUCCACCAUGAAAAAGAAGGAGCAGAAAGGAUCGUGGACCGGUCCAGGCUUCUGCGAUCCCAGUCUCUUGGGAUGCUCUCAGCUCUGGAUUCCCCGGGCGGGCAGGGUUCUGGGAUAUAUUCAUUCAUAUCCAUUCUACUCCUUGAGUUUGUGCUGUAACUGCAGUUACACAUGUGAGAAAAGUCCAGGGUUGAAGAGCUAAACAGGAAGAUGUAUAGGUAAAGAGGUCAAGCUAGUUUUCUUCCAUCCUCAAGCCUUAUCUCCAAAGACCCUCAGUAAUUCAAAUUAACCUAACCCAUUAAAAUGCACAUGUUUUCUUUUAACAUCUUUAGAAUUAGGAGCGCAACCAGAAUUUUGAUUUCACAAAACAGAAACGAGUAAGAGAAAUCUCACCGGGUCAGAAAGAGUAGUUCUAACCGUUCGUGUUCUUCUGCUGAACAACCAGCAGAGGGCAAACAAGAUGACAAAUAGAACAAGAGGAACCCCAAGGCAGACAGGAGGGGCUUUGCAUCCAAGUUCACAGAGAACCUAAGUGCAAAAAUGAGCCCUAACUCAAGAGCUUAGCAAGGUGUAAAUACAGUCUUGAGCAUGAGUUUGAGUUAACCCUGGCAUUUCCAACUUGCUUCCAGAAGAUUUUAGUCUGUGAUAGAGAUUAAAUCCUUUGCAACCAGGACUUACUCAGAUCACAGUCUCCUAGAGACCAGUUUUGGAAAGGGAGGUAUUCAGAUGUAUCAAGGUGGGGGGCAGAAAACCAGCAUAUUUAUUACUCAAAUGGUAAGACUUCAUAUGCAUGUAGCAACUAGACCCUAACUCCCCCAAACACUUAUGGAAUCACAAUGUCCUUAAAUUUGAAAAAGAAAGAAAUCAAGAGAUGGAAAAUUGAUUUUCAUACACCCUAGGUUCAAAAUGAAGGCACAUAGAAGCAUUAUGGAAAGAAGAGAAUUUCAUAACUCUUGAUGUUAGGUAAAGGUGUGAAUGUUCUAUUAAGAACAUUAAAU
This is a non-coding RNA of Vicugna pacos (alpaca), 1900 nucleotides long. The record is from RefSeq and is a predicted model, not a curated record. Lineage: Eukaryota; Metazoa; Chordata; Mammalia; Artiodactyla; Camelidae.